AAGCCAGCUUGACUGCGAGCGUGACGGCGCGAGCAGGUGCGAAAGCAGGUCAUAGUGAUCCGGUGGUUCUGAAUGGAAGGGCCAUCGCUCAACGGAUAAAAGGUACUCCGGGGAUAACAGGCUGAUACCGCCCAAGAGUUCAUAUCGACGGCGGUGUUUGGCACCUCGAUGUCGGCUCAUCACAUCCUGGGGCUGAAGUAGGUCCCAMGGGUAUGGCUGUUCGCCAUUUAAAGUGGUACGCGAGCUGGGUUUAGAACGUCGUGAGACAGUUCGGUCCCUAUCUGCCGUGGGCGCUGGAGAACUGAGGGGGGCUGCUCCUAGUACGAGAGGACCGGAGUGGACGCAUCACUGGUGUUCGGGUUGUCAUGCCAAUGGCACUGCCCGGUAGCUAAAUGCGGAAGAGAUAAGUGCUGAAAGCAUCUAAGCACGAAACUUGCCCCGAGAUGAGUUCUCCCUGAGACUUAGAGUCUCCUGAAGGAACGUUGAAGACGACGACGUUGAUAGGCCGGGUGUGUAAGCGCAGCGAUGCGUUGAGCUAACCGGUACUAAUGAACCGUGAGGCUUAACCUUACAACGCCGAAGCUGUU
This 587-nucleotide ribosomal RNA is filed under the name Escherichia coli. RNAcentral describes it as "bacterial LSU rRNA". It matches the Rfam family "Bacterial large subunit ribosomal RNA", at positions 2361 to 2925 of the family's 2925-position model. Lineage: Bacteria; Pseudomonadati; Pseudomonadota; Gammaproteobacteria; Enterobacterales; Enterobacteriaceae. The record is from RNAcentral.